RNAcentral lists this ribosomal RNA (113 nucleotides) under Candidatus Woesearchaeota archaeon. The record is from RNAcentral. Lineage: Archaea; Nanobdellati; Candidatus Woesearchaeota.
UUGGACGGCCAUAGGGGCCGGGUUCCACCCAGUCUCGUUCGAACCUGGAAGUUAAGCCGGCUUCCGUAGCUGAGUGUACUCUAUUGCAGGGGAAAUCAGCUAAGCUGUCCGCC